RNAcentral lists this ribosomal RNA (499 nucleotides) under uncultured bacterium. RNAcentral's name for it is "bacterial SSU rRNA". It matches the Rfam family "Bacterial small subunit ribosomal RNA", at positions 15 to 507 of the family's 1533-position model. The record is from RNAcentral.
GAUCAUGGCUCAGAAUGAACGUUGGCGGCGUGGAUUAGGCAUGCAAGUCGAGCGAGAAUUUGCGAUUGGAAGCUUCGGCCGAAGAAAGUGAAGGAAAGCGGCAAACGGCGUAGUAAGGCGUAGGUACGUACCCUCGGGUCGGGAAUAGCCAUGGGAAACUGUGGGUAAUGCCCGAUAAUCUCUGCGGAGCAAAGGUGUGAUUCCGCCGGAGGAGCGGCUUACGUGAUAUUAGCUAGUUGGUGGGGUAAUGGCCUACCAAGGCAACGAUGUCUAGGGGGUGUGAGAGCAUGGCCCCCACGACCGGAACUGAGACACUGUCCGGACACCUACGGGUGGCUGCAGUCGAGAAUCUUCCGCAAUGGGCGAAAACCUGACGGAGCGACGCCGCGUGGUGGAUGAAGGCCCUUGGGUUGUAAACACCUGUCAGAGGGGAUGAAAUCAUGGUUGGCAAUCCUUCCAUGUUGACAGAGCCUCAGAGGAAGCACGGGCUAAGUACGUG